AGUGAGGAUAGAGGCGCAAAGACCAUUAGUACCCAUUCGGAGGAUAAUGAGGUCCGAAGAUGAAUGGCGAAAGGGGAAUUUGCCGAAGUUUCAAUGAACCUCAUUGUUCUUGAAGCUGGUUCUGCUGUUGAAUAAGCACAGAACUGUCAUAUAGGUAAACUAUAUGGAGGGCUAUCUCACGC
This 182-nucleotide non-coding RNA is filed under the name Bacillus sp. (in: firmicutes). RNAcentral describes it as "Bacillus sp. Lysine sequence". It matches the Rfam family "Lysine riboswitch aptamer". From Rfam's summary of the family: Riboswitches are metabolite binding domains within certain messenger RNAs that serve as precision sensors for their corresponding targets. Allosteric rearrangement of mRNA structure is mediated by ligand binding, and this results in modulation of gene expression. Lineage: Bacteria; Bacillati; Bacillota; Bacilli; Caryophanales; Bacillaceae. The record is from RNAcentral.